GAAAUACCUCUGUAUCUCUUAUUACCCAGAGGAAAUAAAAAGAACUUUUCUUCAAGCCCCAUGCCAGUUCUUCCACUUGUUCAUUGGCUAAAGAAGCCAUGCUUCCGAAUGAUACAUAAACGACUGAUCCUUCGGGCUUCGUGUUGAGCCAAUUCAUGGUGAUGGAUUUGUCCAAUGUGAAGAGAUUGAGAUCAUAAUCAUUGUCAUUAAGGAUUCUGUUGUCUAGGUAGAAAGAUGGAAGCGUUGGACCGAUUGUGACCAUUGGACAAAAUUUAGACAUUGAAUCUGCCACCUGUAAUAGAUAAAAAAUUGUCCAAUAGUUUCUGGAGUGAUCUCAACAUUAAUUGUGGCUAAAAUUUAUAUACAAGAGGAAAAAAAAUAGAAACAUUACAAAGUUGCAUAAAUAAAUAAAACAAGGCAAGGUAAAAUUAAAGCGUAGAACUUAUCAUUCAAUAUUUUAUUAUAAGAUUUAUAAUUCAGAAAAUCGACUAGUGGAUUUCACAAUUUCAAAUUUUUUUUUAUGUGUUUGAGAGUAUUGUUGACACUUUGAAAUAAUUUAAGGGAGAAUAGCGCACUUUCGACCCUUUCAAAUGUUGCUUUAAUUUAAAUGUCAGUUUUAACAACGAAAACGACAUGAGGUAUUAAACAGUUUCUCGAGAGGCAAGUGAUAAAAUCAAAUUACUAGAUGAACGAAAGCGUCAUGCGUUCUUCCAAUUUAAAAGUCAUCUUACAAAAAGUAAUAUAGAAAAGUACUUUUGAAAAAUGGAUAUUUGGAUGCAAAAUACAGUUAAAAAUGCGUUUUAUAAAAAUGACAACUAAAGUAAAUAUUUAUCAUUAGAUUUAAAAUUAGGAUUGAGACCUCUCUUAAUUCUUUUCUCUCCUAAGUUCUCUUAUUUUUUCACAUCUAGUGAAAAAAAUUGACAUAAUUGUAGAUAAAAGUGAAAAAAAAAAGAGAGAGAGAAAAAAAUUGACUUAAUUGCUAACUUCAAAAUUGAAACUCAAUUAACCACUCGGGCAGUAGCCCGAGUGGCCAGGGCUGCUGCCCUCCAAGUUGGAGGGCAGCAGUUCGAACCCCCACAAAAGCAUUGUGGGGGUAUUUUCUUCUUCAAUUAAUUUGAAUGAAGGUAGUCUUCUCCCUUACCCAUGAAAGCCUGCAUGUGUGACAUGUUGUUUGGGUUGGAUUUUUCUAAAAACUUCAGAAGUAUAGUUGACCUUAAUCUACUCAAAACUCAUUAUUAUCGAGCUGACCACGUAAGUACAACCUGGAGCCUAUGUUGGCGACCUGAUUCACAAGUACGACUUGAGAUUUAUGUGAAUGACCUGAUUUAAGAAUACAACCUUAAAUUUAUAUGAGCGACCAAGAAAUUCACCGGUCCGACCUCGAAAUUUAUUUGCCCGACCAGAGAAUUAGCUUGACAUAGAAAGCUAUUGGUUAAGAUAACGUGGCCUAAUUUCUAGGAAAGUUGUGUGCCACGAUCUAUGUAAACCAUCUCCAACUGAUGACCACGUGCAACUGCUGAAGAAAGUGGGCAGAAGUUAAAGGUGGUAACCACCCACGACCAGGGGCCUAUUUAAGUUGAAAAUGGCAACUAAUGAAGGGGUUAGCAAAAUUCAACCAAAAAACUCUAUAAGUGACCUACCUAAGAGCCUUAAGAGAGGUUACCAGAUUUGGAGUUCCUUUAUCAGAAAAUUCCUUUCUUUUGAACCCAUUCACAAUUCUUCCCUCUCAUUUUUGUCGCUUUAUACACAAUUUCUGACUUAAGCAUAGGAGGGUCUGCGCCGGAAACCCACCGGCGUAUCCUAACCGUGUUUUCUGGUUGACAGGUACAGAAAAUUACGGUCAUAUUGGCGUUUAAGCUUGGAUUCGUGCUGUAAUUCCCCUAAAGAAACAAAUUCAGCUGUUGAGGUCGUUUUUCGGCAUCAACAUCUUGGCGCCGUCUGUGGGGAUCGGUGCGAAAAGCCAUACGUUUGAAAUUUAGAAGGAAGAAGCUAUCAGAUUACGGAAUAACGAUGGAUGACAACGACGGAGAUAGGCAGACACUUAUAACUCUUGUUGUGCUUUCAUUUGGUGUUUGUACUUCAGAUAAAAUGUAGACCUCAAACGUAAAAUCUAAAAUGUCGACCUCAAACGUAGACCUCACAAAACUAAACUGUCGACCUUAACAAACAACCUCAAACGUAGAGCUCACAAAGCAAAAAUAUCGACCUCAAAUGUAUAGCUCACAAAGCAAAAAUAUCGACCUCAAAUGUAAAGCUCACAAAGCAAAAAUAUCGACCUCAAAUGUAAAGCUCACAAAGCAAAAAUAUCGACCUCAAAUGUAAAGCUCACAAAGCAAAAAUAUCGACCUCAAAUGUAAAGCUCACAAAGCAAAAAUAUCGACCUCAAAUGUAAAGCUCACAAAGAAAGUGUCGACCUCAACCGUAGGCUUUACAAAACUAAAAUGUCGACCUUAACAAACAACCUCAAACGUAGAGCUCACGAAGCAAAAAUAUCAACCUCAAAUGUAGAGCUCAAAAAGCAAGUGUUGACCGCAAACGUAAAGCUCACAAAACAAGUGUCGACCUCAACUGUAGGCUUUACAAAACUAAAAUGUCGACCUUAACAAACAACCUCAAACGUAGAGCUCACAAAGCACAAGUGUCGACCGCAACCGUAAAGCUCACAAAGCAAGUGUCGACCUUAACCGUGGGCUUUACAAAACUAAAAUGUCGACCUCAAUCGCAAUUAGAUUGAAAAUUAUUUGUCAUGUUAGACCUCAAUAAGGCCCAAAUAUGCCGAUUUCAAUCUCAAUUAGAUUGAGAAAACUUUUCACAUUGGACCUCAACAAGGUCGCAAUGUUGAUCUCAAUCUUAAUAAGAUUGGAUAAAUCUUUUCACGUUGGAUGUCAAUAAGGUCGCAAUGUCGAUCUCAAUAUCAAUAAGAUUGGAUAAAUCUUUUCACGUUGGAUCUCAAUAAGGUCGCAAUGUCGAUCUAAAUCUCAAUAAGAUUGGAUAAAUCUUUUCACGUUGGACCUUAAUAAUGUCGCAAUGUCGAUCUCAAUUUCAAUAAGAUUGGAUAAAUCUUUUCACGUUGGACUUCAAUAAGGUCGCAAUGUCGAUCUUUAUUAUUGCUUGCACUAUUUUUUAAGAAUAAUUUACAAUAUUCAGAAACUUGCAAGGGUUAAAUAAUAAACUUAAUAUUUUUUUUUAUAUUUGAAUUUACAAGAUAUUGCAUCCCCUAUCAAUUAAUCGUCAUUCGUCAUUGUCGUUUUCAUGAUUUGUAAAUUACAUACUGUCGGCAUGAGAAUCAUAAAAAUUGGGAAAUAUGAAAAUGUCUCACCCCAACCAUGUAUGAUGAUCGUGAAAUGAUCUACCUUAAGAAUCAGCGAAGAAGAUAUAUGGUGUAUUUAAUGUUCUUUUCUUCAAAGUCUAGAUUUUCCUUAUCUAAUUCUCUCGUAAUACUAUAAAUUUCAACCUCCUUUCAUAAAAUCAAUUUGAUUGUCUCUAUUUUUAUUUUUAAUUUGUUGGAUGGAAGACACUUAGGUCUCUAACGUUUCUCACUUUUACUAAUUAGGUUCUAACUUUUUUUAAUACCCAUAUAUUUUGGGGCUCUUUUAUUAUUAAAAUCCUACUUUCAGUCUAGUUUAAUUUGUUUGCCAAAAGGUUGGAAGGGGUAUCCAUGUUGAAAAAUUACGAUUAUCAUUCAAAUGUAAAUUGGAAUAUUAAAAUUUAAAGGCGGUGAUAUUUUCAUUCUACUAAUUUUGUAAACCCUCCCCACUUCUAGAAAAUAAUUACAAAAAUUUUACAUUAUUUUAAAAAAUUUCAAAUAAAGAAUAAUUUUGGAGAAUUGAUUAAUUAAAUCCAUCUUUUUUUUUGUGAUCUAAAUUUUUUUAAUUAUGUUUAACUACUCAGAUUGCCUUUUCCUAAAUUUACAACCAAAACAAAUUAAAAAAAUUUAUUUCAACUUAAUUUUAUACAAAAUACAUUGUCUCUAAGUUAUGUGUCAAUUCUACUUUAAUAGGAUGAUUAUUAAUCUUUAAUUAAACUUACAUAAUGUCUUUAAAGUACCAUGCUCAUCUAAAUUAUCGAGCUACCAAAUUUGUAUCAUUUGUCAUGUAAGAUAUUGAAAAAUAUUAGAUUUCAUUUAAAAAAAGUUAGAAUAUAGGUCACAAAAUUAAAUAUCUAAACUAUUAAAUACAAGACUGCGAAUUUCUUGGGCAACUGGGUCAUUUUUUGUCAAAAGGGUAAAAUAAUGAACUAAAACUUGUGUUAAAGCAAUUUUAAUAGCCUAAGAUUGUCAAAGAAACUUAAAUAAGAAAAAAAUCAUAAGGAGGAUGUAAUCAGUUAAUAGUAUAAUCUUUUUGUUGAUUUAUUUGUUACUAAUAAUAGUGUGAAUGUGUGGUGGGUCUACAAAAAUAGUAGGAUAGAAAUAUCCCACCCCACGGUGAUAAUUCCACCCCACAAUUUCUAUAAACCCACCUUAAUUGCAGAAAAUAAUUGCAAAAAGUGCACAUUAUUUUUAAAAUUUUAAAUGAAGAAUAAGUUUGGAGAAUUAAUUAAUUAAAUUAAUAUCAUUUUUUGACUUAAUUUUUUAUUAUAUUUGAUUGCUUUAAUAUAAGUUUAGAUUAACUAUUUUACCCUUAUAAGAUAAAAGUACAAAAACUACUUUAACAUUAAUUUUUUUUCAAUCUUAUACAAAAUUCAUUGUUUCCAAAUGAUGUAUUAUCUAAACAAACAUAAUAUCUUUAUAGCAUAAUACUUAAGUAAACUACUAGCCUGUCCAAUUUAGGUCAUUUACAUUGGAGCAAAGACAAAGUUACAAACUUUUGUUCAAAUUUAUUUUGUGCAAACUAACAUAACAUAAUUCAAUUACUUGGAUUAAAUAAUUUCUUAUUUCAUAACAUAACAUAAUUUCUUUGUUCACAUGAUUUAUUUUUAUUAUUUCAUAUUUUUGUCUAACCAAUGAAUUUAUACCAUAUCAGUUUAUACAAAGUAAAUUAAUAAAAAAUUUGUUACUCUAUCAUCACUCUUCAUUAGGGUAUUGAAAAUAAUUAUUAAAUUUUAUUUUAAAAAAUUAGAUUAUUAGUAAAAAAAACUUAAAUAUCUAAACAAUUAGAUACAAUAACUCAUGUUUUGGUGCAAUUUGGUCAUUUUAUAUCAUAAGAGUGAAAGAGUCAAAUAAAGCCUAUAUCAAAGCAACAAUUAUAGUCAAAGAUGGUUAAAGAAACCUAAAUAAGAAAAGUUAUGAAAAGGAUUUAAUUGAUUAAUUUUACAAACUUUUGUUAAUUUCUAUUUGUUAGAAAUAAUAUGAAUUCAUUGUAAUUAUUUUCUAAAAGUGGGGUGCAAAUAUCUCCACCAUUAAGAAAAUACAAAAUUUGAUUGUAGAUAUGUGAGACGGGUGAGUAUAAUGUCACAUAAGAGCCUUUUUGUUGAAGUGAUUUUUCUGUAAUCUUCGAUCUAUUUGUCUUCUUAGUUUUCUUCAGUUUGAGCAAUAAAUGCUUUUUUUAACUAUUGGAUCAAAUUAAUUCCUAUUUUCACGAUGUGAAAUUAAACUUUAAUAGUGUUUUGAGAAGCACUUAUUUAUUGCAACAUGACAAUACGUUGCGUGCAAACUACAUGUGCUUAUGGUUCUACGCCAUUUUGUUGAUUCGAUCUUUUGGAGCGUUGGAGGCAGUCAAGCACCAUAAAUCAGUCUUGGGAUGUAGUUUGUUAAUGACAAGCACCAUUGACCCAAGAAAUUUGUUCACUUGUUUUAGUUGCCAUAUUACUGUCGAAUUAGUGGUUCCCAAAGGCUCCCAAAUGUAGCUUAAGUUGAUUAUUUUAUUGCUGUUAUAAGAUAAAAGUAUCAAAAUACCCAUAAAAGUUUUUUAACUUCAAUAACUUUUUUAAUAUAAUUUAAUUUAUAAUUUUUUCGAAUGAUUUAUUAUUAUUACUUUAUUAAUAUGAUUAUUAAUUUUUAAUUAAACUAAUAAAAAAUCUUUAUAACAUAAUAUUUUAAGGAAUCUAUUGGCUGUCAAAUUAUGUACUAUACACACAUAGGAGUAUUGAAAAUUUAUUGGGUUUCAAUUCAAAAUGUUAGAUUAGAUAGGUUAUAAAACUAAAUAUUAAAUUAACUCCAUGCUUUCUGCACAACUUUUUUUUUCAAACUUCAUAUGGCAAAUUUGUCAAAGACACUUUAGUGGCCAAAGAGAAUAAAAAAGUAACGUGAUUUUUUUUAAAUGAGGAUUUUAAUUGGUUAAUUGUCAAAAUUUCUUCUUUAUUUGAAAUUAUAAAAAAAUAACAUGAAUUUUUUGUAAUUAUUUUUUGAAGUGGGGUACAUUUACAGAAUUUUAGGAGGUGAGCGGUUCUUACUACAUAAUUUUAAAUAAACGCAAUAUAAUUACUGAUCCCAUCAAAUUUUGAUUUUCUUUUUGUAUUGGGUAGAAAAUCAGAUAAAACUUAGCUAUUCCUUAAGGAAUACAUGUUCUGUGAGCUUAGAUGGAUUUUAUAAUUUAUCAAAAUUGAAAUGGCAAAAACAAAUUUAAGAAACUGUUUGUUCUCUGCAGCUGAUGUGAGGCCUGUUAUUUGGAUGAAAUAUUUUUCCUUUAACGAAAAGCCAUGCUUAAUAAAUUAAAUUUACAAAAUCUUAAUAAAAAAUAAAUUUUAAUAUUUAGCAAACUAACUUUGUGAAUAUUUUAAUCACAAAUUCCCCGUUUUUUUGUAGUGAAAGAAAAAUAUAAAACUAAAAAAGAUCCAUUUCCAGUCUUUUGAUUUCCGAAUUAAUUUUUUUCGUUUCGUUUCUCUGUGUUUUCACUAAGCAUUACUUGACGCCUUGACUUCAAAUCGAUAUCCAGUCCCGAAUAGUUAUAUUUCUCUUGUAUAGUUUCAAUAAAUUUAAUUCCCAUUGUGGUUGUUUUCCGAACCAAUGUUCCAUUUCAAUGCCAAUGAAUACAGUAGUUUUUCUUUUCCAAAAAAAAAAAAAGAAUACAGUAGUUUUUGUUUUCUUGAUUUUGCGUUAAAUUUUUCUAAAAUAGAAAGCGAACCUUCAAAGCCAUAACCGAUCUCUCCUUCCAUCCUGGAUUAAUGCCACCACCAAUUUUUCAUAAAAUGAAAAGCCUGUGUGCUCGAUCCAGAAUCAGUUGCAAUGACGCCGGAAGAGUCAUCAACAUCAGCCUUACAAAUACAGGAUUAAGUGGUACAUUUCAUGAGUUUUCAGUCUCAUUGUUUCCUCAUCUUUUCUUGAUCUCGGCUUUAUUGAAUUAUAUGGUAUCAUCCCGCCUCAAACCGGUAAUCUCUCCAAGGUUCUGUUCCUUUCUCUAUAUGAUAAAAUGUUUCAGGAAACGUACCUCCCGAAAUUUGCCCACUAACUCAUUUGAAAGUUCUUUCUCUUCCACUCCAACAAUUUGAACCGUUCAAUUCCUUCUUCUUUAGGUGUCCUGAACAACUUGGUUCAGUUGUUUCUUAAUGAAAAUUCGCUUUCUAGUUCUAUUCUUCCUAACAUGAGAAACUUGAAGUCUCUCUCAGAAUUAAAUUUGAGCAUUAAUCAACUUAGCGGUUCAAUACCUCCUUCCUGUGGUAACUUGAGAAACUUGAAUGGAUUGUGCCUCUUUCGUAGUUCACUUUCAGUUUUCUAUUCCACUGGAAUGGAUUGCGCCUCUUUCGUAGAGUUUCUAUUCUAAGGGAAAUAUGGAACUUGAGGUCUCUUAUUGUCCUAGAUUCGCCACAAAAUUAAUUUAGAGGUUUUGUUCCUCCAUCUGUAGCUAAUUUUACUAAUUAAAGAAUUACAAUUGCAACUACACAAAAUCACAAUAUUACAGUUGAAACAAUAAUAAUAUUAACAGAGAGAUAUCAAGAUUAAAUACCUAUAAGAAUUGUUGAAGUGUGAGCUCUGAAAUUGAUUUCCAGAAAUUCAUACGACAUGUCAGUUCGUGAUUGGAACAGAAUACGACUUGUCGGUUAAAGUCAUUCAAAGCUGUAUGACAAAGAUGUUCGUUCAUCCAUCUGUGAGUAAGUGAAGCACGUGGACAUCACAUGCUUCCACUUAUCCAUACGACUUUACUGAGUGCCGUUUUAGAGCCUUCGUUUAACGUGAUGCAAACACGUGGCUCAGAGGUCGUUAUGUUCUGUUACAAGAGCGGGAAAAUCUGGGUCUUAUUGACAGAGGAUGUUAAAGAUUGAGAAGUCAAUCACGAAGAUUUGAAUUGAUUGUAUAAUUAUAUGAUUUUAUUUGUUUCCUUUCUUACUUUUGUACAGCUAUAUAAAGGAAUCACAUUAAUGAGUUUGCCUUAGAUUUCGGCAUUCCUCUGCUUUUGUAUCUUGUAUAUAAACUCAUGAUAUGGUGGCUGAAUAAUAAUAUAUAGAAUUCACUCAAUUCUUUUCAUGGUAUCAGAGCGAGAUUCUGGUCACUAGAUUCUUCUGCUCAUCCCAGCAAUCUGAAUUUUUUUUUUUUUAAAAGCCAUCAAUCCAUGGCAAACAAAGAAAAAGCUUCAUCCCCAAUCUCCAGCCAUGAAGAUCCAAGUAACCCAUUAUUCCUUCAUCACUCUGAUCAUCCAGGAGUAAUAUUAGUGUCAUAGCCCUUAACUGAAGAAAACUAUAAUACCUGGAGCCGUGCAAUGAUUAUGGCAUUAAGUGCGAAGAACAAAAUCGGGUUUAUUGAUAGAUCUAUCAAGCAUCCUUGAGAUGCUUCAGCCGCUGAGUCACAACACUGGAAUCGCUACAACGAUAUGGUCAAAUCAUGGAUGCUCAACUCUAUAUCAAAAGAAAUCUCUCUUAGUGUGAUCUAUUGCAAACUUGCAAGUGAGAUUUGGGCGGAUUUAAAAGAACGACUUUCACAGGUAAAUGGUCCAUAUAUUUUUCAAGUUGAAAAAAAAUUCAUAACUUGGUGCAGGAUACCAUGUCGAUAGCAACAUACUAUACUAAGCUGAAAGCAUUGUGGGAUGAACUGGAUGCACUUUGUUCAAUUCCAACGUGUUCUUGUGGCUCAAUGAAAGCAGUUAUCCAAUAUCAGCAAAGCCACAAAACCAUGAAGUUCCUUAUGGGACUAAAUGAAUCAUACUCUGCAACUCGCGGACAGAUUUUAUUGAUGGAUCCACUUCCGAAUGUGAACAAGUCAUAUUCAUUGGUGCUUCAAGAUGAGCGUCAGCGUGCGGAAUCUUCAAAUCAAACCAUUGCACCAGAAGCUGCUGCACUUGCUGCAAAAAUGAACUCACGAGAAAGGAAAGAAUACAAGGAUGUGGAGAAGAGAAAAGACGGAAAACGUGAACGCCCAAAAUGUGAUCAUUGCGGAUGGGUUGGCCAUACAGUUGACAAGUGUUAUCAUAUUCAUGGAUUUCCUCCAGAUCACCGAAAUCGGAAAGGAAAUUCCAAACCAAGUGCCAAUCAAACAUCCUCACUUGCUGUAGAUUGUAAAGAAUAAAGUGAUUAUUCAUUUACUCAGGAGCAAUGCAAGCAAAUUCUUGAGCUCUUGAACAAUGUUAAUAAACCAGGUCCUAUGGCACAUCAUGUAGGUACUUCUGCCAUGACUCACUUGUCAGGUAAAUUCAUAUGCAUCUCAUCAUCCUUAGAAUGUACUCCAUGGAUCACAGAUAGUGGUGCUACAGAUCACAUGGUUUGUUCCUCAUCUUAUUUAACAUAUUCUACGCCAGUGAAAAAUCAAACUGUCAAACUACCAAAUGGUUCAUUAGCUCCUGUCACACACAUUGGAUCCAUUAAUUUUUCUUCACAAUUUACUUUGACCAAUGUUAUGUGUGUACCUACCUUUCAUUUCAACUUAAUUUCUGUAAGCAAGCUUUCCCAAAAUUCACAAUACUCAUUUAUCUUCUCCUCCCAAUCUUGUGUAAUUCAGGACCUACGCUCGAGAAAGACGAUUGGGACGGGAACUGAACGGGAUGGUCUAUACUACCUGAAUGUGUUCAAGGAAGUCACCUGUCAAUCAAUGAACUUUUUUCUUUCUCAAUUAUGGCAUCGUCGUUUAGGACAUUUAUCAAAUAAAUCUCUUCAUCUACUUUCUACCAAUGUACUUGACAUUAAAGCUUGCGACAUUGGUAAUUGUCCAGUGUGUCCUUUAGCAAAGCAAACAAGAGUAGAGUUUUCUUUAAGUUCAAUAUCUUCUACUGCACCGUUUGAGUUAUUGCAUGUUGAUAUUUGGGAAGGCUAUCAAACAUCUUCUAUUUCAGGAGCCCAUUAUUUUUUGACCAUUGUGGAUGAUCACACUCGAUGCACAUGGGUUUAUCUAAUGCGUCAUAAGUCUGAAACCCGUCAUCAUUUACAAUCAUUUGUACAACUUGUUGAGACACAAUUUUCUUCAAAGGUUAAAACCAUCCGUAGUGACAAUGGCCAAGAAUUCAUCAUGCCGCUUUAUUAUUCUAACAAAGGAAUUAUUCAUCAGACUAGUUGUGUCUCCACCCCACAACAAAAUGGAGUGGUAGAACGGAAACACCGACAUCUCCUUAAUGUAGCACGUGCAUUACUUUUUCAAGCUAAUUUACCAAAAUAUUUUUGGGGUGAAGCCAUUCUUACAGCCACAUAUUUGAUUAAUAGGAUACCUAGACCUAUUUUAUCUGGAAAAUCUCCUUAUGAAAUGUUGUAUAAAAUUAGACCAUCUUAUAACCAUCUGCGUGUUUUUGGUUGUUUAUGCUUUGCUUCCACACAUGCUCAAAAACCAUCCAAGUUUGAUGCACGUGCUACUCGUUGCAUAUUCAUUGGUUACCCUUAUGGACAAAAAGGAUAUCGAGUCUAUGAAAUAGAAAAUCGUAGAGUUUUCACAUCCCGUGAUGUUUGAUAUUUCAAAUAUGGAUUUCAAUGCUUCUAUUGUGCCACGUAGAUCUUCUCGCCCAACUAAACCUCAUGGGUAUUUGCAUGACUUCCAUAUCCAACAUAGACUCCCAUCUCAGAUGUCUCAAUCGUCGGAAUUGGCUACGGUCACUUCUCUUGGUAAUCCUUAUCCUUUAUGUAAUUUUUUAUCUUAUGAUUGUUUGUCUUCUCCUCAUCGAGCUUUCACCUCUUCCAUUUCUCUUCAAACAGAACCUAAGUCCUUCUUGCAGGCAUUUCGAGACAAAAAUUGGCGAGAUGCUAUGAGAGCAGAAAUAGAUGCUCUUGAAAACAACCAGACAUGGACAUUGACUUCUCUUCCUCCUGGCAAAAAAUCAGUAGGGUGUAAAUGGGUUUUCAAAGUCAAGUAUAAUCCUGAUGGUUCUGUUGAACGAUAUAAAGCACGUUUGGUUGCGAAAGGUUUCAGCCAAAUAGAAGGGCUUGAUUAUACAUAAACAUUUGCUCCAGUUGCCAAGUUAGUGACAGUUCGUGUAUUACUUGCAAUUGCAGCUACACAAAAAUGGCAUCUUCAUCAACUUGAUGUUAACAAUGCGUUCUUACAUGGAGAUCUUCAUGAAGAUGUCUACAUGGAUCUCCCUCCUGGAUUUGGACGAAAGGGGGACACAAGGUUUUGCAAACUCAACAAGUCAUUGUAUGGUCUAAAGCAAGCAUCUAGACAAUGGUUUGCUAAACUUUCUUCCGCCCUUAGAUAUGCUGGCUACAAGCAAUCAAAGGUAGAUUAUUCAAUGUUCGUCCAAUCAGAGGAAGGAAAUUUCACUGUUGUUUUGGUGUAUGUUGAUGAUGUGAUCUUAGCUGGAAAUAAUUUGAAGAAAAUUCAAGAACUUAAAGAAUUUUUGAAUGGUUGUUUCAAACUCAAGGAUCUUGGAAGCUUGAAAUAUUUCUUAGGCAUUGAGGUUGCACGCUCAAGAAAUGGGAUUCAUCUUUGUCAAAGAAAAUAUGCUCUUGAAAUCCUUGAAGACAUGGGUUUUCUAGGUGCAAAACCAACAAAAAUUCCUUUGGAGCAAAACUUAAAUUUAAGUGCAUCGGAUGGGGAUUUAUUAACAGAACCAUCAUCAUAUCGGAAGCUUGUUGGUAGAUUGAUUUACUUGACUAUAACACGACCAGAUUUGGUGUAUGCAGUACAUGUGCUAAGCCAAUUCAUGGACAAGCCACGUACAUCACACUUAGAUGCAGCACAUCGAGUUUUACGAUACAUUAAGCAAGCACCAGGCCAAGGGAUAUUCCUGUCAGCACAUAGCUCAAUUCAGUUGAAGGCUUAUUGUGAUGCGGAUUGGGCACGAUGUAGAGAUACUCGAAGGUCGAUUACUGGAUAUUGCAUCAUGCUUGGAGAAUCACUGAUCUCUUGGAAAACAAAGAAGCAAACAACUAUCUCUCGAUCUUCAGCUGAGGCUGAAUACAGAUCUAUGGCAACCACUUGUUGCGAAAUUACUUGGUUAAAAUAUUUACUUGAAGACUUGAAGGUGAAACAUUCGCAAGCAGUUAUGUUAUAUUGUGAUAACAAGGCAGCCAUUCACAUUGCUUCAAAUCCUGUUUUCCACGAGCGUACAAAGCAUAUCGAGAUUGAUUGUCAUCUUAUACGUGAGAAACUUCAAACCGGCAUGAUUCAAACAGCCCAUGUACACACCAGCCAACAACCAGCUGAUAUUUUUACUAAAGCCCUUGGUUCAGCUCAGUUUCAUCAUCUACUUGGCAAGUUGGGUGUUAUGAAUAUACACUCCAACUUGAGGGGGAAUGUUAAAGAUUGAGAAGUCAAUCACGAAGAUUUGAAUUGAUUGUAUAAUUAUAUGAUUUUAUUUGUUUCUUUUCUUACUUUUGUACAGCUAUAGAAAGGAAUCACAUUAAUGGGUUUGCCUUAGAUUUCAGCAUUCCUCUGCUUUUGUAUCUUGUAUAUAAACUCAUGAUAUGGUGGCUGAAUAAUAAUAUAUAGAAUUCACUCAAUUCUUUUCAGAGGAGAGCUGACUGGUGGGGAUAUAUUCUGGGCUCUCUUAAGCGUGUAUAUAUAGCCUUAAGGGAUAUGGAAUCCGUGUGUGUGAUGCUUGUAAUUUCAUCUUAAAGCUUGUAUCUUGUUCCUGGUGAUUGAAUAAAGAUUGUUACUCUGUUCUUCAGUGGAUGUAAGCCACCUCCAAGCUGAACCACUUAAACUGUUCUUUCGUUGGCUGCUGUUCUUUAGUUUCUUCUGUGUAUCUUUUAUUUGUUUCUUAAGAGUUUCUUAGUCAAGCACCAGAGUGUUUAGAGCAGUCUUGGGGAAUCUUGGUUGAUUACAUUCGAUCAAGGCACAACAAGAAUGCUAGCGCAAACCUUAAGGCUUGUGAGAUACCACAGUUUUUUGUACCUCCUACUGUUGUGCUUUAGAAUUGCAUGGCGUCUGUCCCAAGAUACAAGAGAGUCAAAUAACUCUAGUGCACCACCAGGCUAUUCUUAGUAACUUCCAUUGUGUCUGAAUUUUGUCGUGUCUGGACUCUUUCAAAUUGAAUUAAUGCAUAUAAAGGAGGAGGGGAAGUGUUUGCCAUAGCAAUUUGCAUUUGCCUUGUGCUGUCUCUUGUUAUAUAUUGUCGUGUCGCUUGAAAUGAAGAGAAAUAUGACAAUUCAUAGCCAUUCGUGUGAGGGCAAUAUUGUUCAAAUUAACUGUAUUCAAAUCAGUAAUGGAAAUAUUCAAUUCCUAAUUAAAAUCAUAUGUAACCGUUAGCCAUUAAUUGUGAAAUAUCCCAAUUCUUCUACGGCAUUUUAGUCAUAAUAACCCAUCUCUUCUUGGAAAUUUUUGUCAUGUCAAUAGAUUAAGGGUAUUUUAAUCUUUUCCCAGCUCUUAACUAAGCUAGCCCUUAAGAAUAAAAAGAAAAAUAUGCCACAUUCAUUUUACAAGAAAGAGAGAGAGAGAUCGGCAAUGAGACAAAGAAAGAUAAAGAAAAGAGCGAGAAGAGAGGAAGAAGAAAAAAAGAAGAAAAAGAGAGAAAAGACAGAAAAGAAGCGAAGAAGACAAGAAGAAGAAACUCUUCUUCAUAGACGAGUAAAAUAGGGGAAAGAAACGUGAGAUCAAAGAGGUAGUAGUUGCAAUAAUAGAUUUUGCAAGAAAAUAUCCUGACAGUGGGUAUUUUUGAAAUUAUAGUAAUUAGUACAAAAGUUUUGUAUAUUAAAUUAUACAUUUUCAAGAAUGUUUUCAAAUUUGUUUCAAGUUAAUCGAAUAAGAAUUAAAUUUAUAUGAUUUUUCAAACAUAAGUAUGGAAACCUAAAAAUCUCUUUUUCCAAUAUCAUGAAUUGUGAAACUAUUUUAUCGUACUAUACCUAAACUUCUUCAAAAAUUAUAAAAUUUGGAACAGUAAUUUGAAUAUAUGUCCAGUAUGAUUUAAACAUUCUCAUGAUUUUAUGAUUAAAGGAUAAAUUGUUUUAUAUUUUCAAGGUAAGUAUGUUCAAAGCAUAAAAUGAUUUGGUAGGUUUGACAUUGUCUGAAAGUAAACUAUUUUCAAGAGAUUUUGAAGGAAUUUAGCUAUGAAAGAAUUUUCAGUACAUCAGCAUGUCCUCUGCAAAAUUGGAUAUUUUUUCAAGGGGUUUUUUAUUUAAAUAUCCUCGAUUUGUCCUUAAAUACCAAAUUUAUACCCUAUUACAUGCAUAUACCUCAUGAAGAUAGGAAAAGUAAAAAAUAACCUUAAAAAAACCAAGAAUCCACACCUUUCUUCCUCUCACAGCUUCUCUCUUUCAGGCUUCUCUCACCAUUCUCUUCUUCUUCCUCUCACGACUUCUCUUUUUCGGGCUUGUACACACACUAUUUCAUAGAAUGUAGGGAUUUAAGACUCCAUUUAAGUUAUGAGUGAUUGAAGAAUCAGUGCCGGAGAGAAGUCAAGUACGAAGUCGGGUAAGUCGAGAACUUAGUCGAGUAAGAAUUGGAGAUAAGUAAGUCGAGUAUAUGAUCCAGUAGGAAGUCGAGUAAGCAUAUUAAAUGAGUCGAGUAAGAAGUGAAGGCAAUUGAAUAAGUCGAAUAUCUAGUCGAGUACGAAGUCAGGUAUGAAGUCUGGUAAGUUGAGCAUUCAGUCGAGUAAGAAGUGAAUGCAAUUGAAUAAGUCGAGUAUCUAAUCGAGUACGAAGUUGGGUAUGGAGUCUGGUAAGUUGAGCAUUCAGUCGAGUAAGAAGUAAAGGCAAUUGAAUAAGUCAAAUAUCUAGUCGAGUAUGAAGUCGGGUAUGAGUUUGGUAAGUUGAGCAUUCAGUCGAGUAAAAAGUGAAGGCAAUUGAAUAAGUCGAGUACGAAGUUGGGUAUGAAGUCUGGUAAGUUGAGCAUUCAGUCGAGUAAGAAGUGAAGGCAAUUGAAUAAGUCGAUGAAGGCAAUUGAAUAAGUCGAGUACGAAGUUGGGUAUGAAGUCUGGUAAGUUGAGCAUUCAGUUAAGUAAGAAGUGAAAGCAAUUGAAUAAGUUGAGUAUUUAGUCGAGUAAGAAGUCGAGUAAAUAGAUUGAAUGAGUCGAGUAUUAAUUUUUUGUUGGCAUUUUAUUGAGGCUAUUUUUGUACUUUCCUUGAUUUUUUUAAGUAUGUAUGUGUAAAGUUAUAAAUUUUAAUAGAUGGAGGUAUAUUUUGGGUAUUUCGAGGGAAAUGGGGUACAUCCCACACAAUUCCCUCUUUUUUCAAUGAUGGAAUAAUUUAUUAAAAAUUGGAGAACAAGUGCUAUUUUGUUUUGUAAUGAAUUCUGAGAUGAUUUGAGGUUGGGUUUAAGAGGUGUUUAUAAUGAGGAAUUUAAGGAUUGGAAAAUUUUAUGUAUAUUGCAUAGACAUUUUGUAACUUAUGCUUUUAGUAUUAGCAGUUAAACAGUCAAAAUAAAAAAAAAUUAAAGAGAAAUGUUAGAUCAAAUUGGGCUGGGAUUUACAGUUCCUGCGCAUUUAACAUGAAGGAUAUAUUUUGCAGUUCAAAAUUUUUUAUAUUUUUAUCUAUUAACCGCCACACUUAUGUAUUUUGCAAGGAAAAAAAAGACAUAAAUGGAAGUAAUAUUUAAUAUUGAUCAUUAGCAUCAUAUGUUCAUCAUCAAAUAUAAAUUUUCCAAAAUUAAAGACGAAGACGUGAGAAAUAAAGAUAUUCUAAGUGGUAAACUUAGAUACAAAUUCAUCAAUAUUUUUAUCUGAAGUACCACCUUCACUAACGAGUUUUUUUCUUAAAUAUCCCUAAUUUACUCUUAAAUACCAAAUUUAUACUCUAUUACAUACAUAUACCUCAUGAAAAUAGGAAAAGUCAAAAAUAACCUUCAAAAAAUAAAGAAUCCACACAUUUUCUUCCUCUCAGUGCAGGAAGAAGUCGAGUACGAAGUCGGGUAAGUCAAGAAUUUAGUCGAGUAAGAAUUGGAGAUAAGUGAGUCGAGUAUGUGGUCUAGUAGGAAGUCAAGUAAGCAUAUUAAAUGAGUCGAGUAUUAAGUGGUCGAGUAUUAAGUAAAAGUCAAGUAAAUUUUUUGAACAAGUCGAGUAAAAUUUAUGUAAUUUUUAAAGAGGUCGAGUAUUAAGUCGGGUAAGUACAUUGAGUCGAGUAUUAAUAUUUUUAAAAAAGUGAAGUCUGGUAAGUUGAGCAUUCAGUAGAGUAAGAAGCGAAGGCAAUUGAAUAAGUCGAGUAUCUAGUCGAGUACGAAGUCGGGUAUGAAGUUUGGUAAGUUGACCAUUUAGUCGAGUAAUAAGUGAAAGCAAUUGAAUAAGUCGAGUAUCUAGUCGAGUACGAAGUCGAGUAUGAAGUAUAGUAAGUUGAGCAUUUAGUCGAGUACGAAGUUGAGUAUGAAGUCUGGUAAGUUGGGUAUUCAGUUGAGUAAGAAGACAAUUGAAUAAGUCGAGUAUCUAGCCAAGUACGAAGUCAGGCAUGAAAUCUGGUAAGUUGAGUAUUCAAUCGAGUAAAAAGUUAAGGCAAUUGAAUAAGUCGAGUAUCUAGUCAAGUACGAAGUCAGGUAUGAAGUCUGGUAAGUUGAGCGUUCAGUCGAGUAAGAAGUGAAGGUAAUUGAAUAAAUCGAGUAUUUAGUCGAGUAAGAAAUCGAGUAAGUAGAUUGAAUGAGUCGAGUAUUAAUUUUUUAUUAGCAUUUUAUUAAGGUUAUUUUUAUACUUUCCCUAGUUUUUUUAAGUAUGUAUGUGUAAAAUUAUAAAUUUUAAUAGAUUGAGGUAUAUUUUAGGUAUUAUGAGGGAAACGGGGUAUAUCCCACGCAAUUCCCUCUUCACUAACUGCCUCAAUAGCCAAGUCCCUCCAUUUCUUAGCAUUCAUUUUCAUUUCUCUCCCACUUUCACUCUCCAUCACUUCUCUAAUACAACUCUCAAUAUCAUCUCUUUUCACAAUCCCAUCUCCAUCAACCCCAACCCUAACUCCAACCUUCCAAACAUCUUCAAUAAACUUCGCGUCCAUUGUGGCAUCGCCACCAUAGGCACCUCCAAGCUCAAUGCCUCAAUAAUUGAAUUCCACCCAGCAUGUGUUAAAAAGCAACCAAGUGCUUUAUUUGAAAGGACUUCUAUCUGAGGGCUCCAAUUGACAAUCAAACCUUUAUCGCCAAUCUCAUCAACAAACCCUUUUGGGAGCUUGUUUGUUUCCUCUGUGUCUCUUAUUACCCACAGGAAAUAAAAAGAACUUUUCUUCAAGCCCCACGCCAGUUCUUCCACUUGUUUAUUGGCUAAACAAGCCAAGCUUCCGAAUGCCACAUAAACAACAGAUCGUUCGGGCUUUUUGUUGAGCCAAUUGAUGCAGAUGGAUUUGUCUAAUGUGAAGAGAUUGAGGUCGUAACCGUUGUCGUUUUGGAUUCUGCUGUCUAGGUAGAAAGAUGGAAUCGUUGGACCAAUUGUGAGCAUUGGACAGAAUUUAGCCAUUGAAUCCGCCACCUGGUUAGAUAAAAGUUUGUGAAAAUGUUUUAGUGAUCUCAAAAUUGCCUAGGGCUUAUCAUUCAAUAUUUUUUUUCAACUAUUUAUAAUUCACAAAAUCGAUUAUUGGAUUUCCACUUCCCGCAUAUUUUUUAUGGGUAUGUGAAAAUAUCACAUUUAUUUUCUCAAAGUUUCAACGCCAGAAGCGACAUGAAGAAUAAAAUUUGUUCGGAACCAAAAUGAUAUAACAAAUUUUAGAUGAAUGAAAGUGUCAUUCUCCCUAAUUUAAAAUCAUCUUAGAAACAUUUAGAAAAGAACUUACUUUUUAGAAAUAACUAAUUAGCGCUGCCAUUUUUAAAAAAUGGGUCUUUGGAUGCAAAUAUACUACAAAAUGCGUUUUAGAAAAAAAAAAUAAAAAUAACACUAAGUUAAAAGUUAUCAUUAGAUGUAAAAUUAACCUACCUCACUUUCCAACUCAUAGAACGUAUUGACAAACAAAAGAUCAGCUCUAUCUGCGUUGGAGAAUUGAUUCAACACCAUCUCAAAGUAAGCAGAAUAUUGCCCUUGAACACCAAUGAAAGAUGGCAUGUCUUGAAGCUCAAGUAACGGCAACCCCGGAAUCGAAACCGUCGUCGAAGGAACGGGAAGCUUCAAUAAUCCAUGAUGAACAAGAUAAUAUAUAAAGUUAACAGCACAAGUUUGAGUGAAACAAGCGGCAGCAAACAAACCGAAACCUUUUGCAACAUCAAGAGCCCAAUAAAGAAAAGCGUCAUAGACUACACAAUCAAUAGGGUUUGAAGUGCUUUUGUAUUUUGUGAUGAGUUCAGCUAGGGUUUUUGAGCCUGCAGCUUCCAUAUUUUGGAAAAAAGCAUGGAUGCUUUCAGCUUUCGUUAAGUCGCCAUCAUCAUAGCCGUCCGAUAUGGUGCCGAUUUGAACUGAACUGGAGGGCUGUGAUGGCUUGGUGGAUUUGUAAAUGAAGUUUGUUAGGGCUAAAGUGAUUUUGAGACCUCUAGAAGCUAAGCGUUUGGCAAAUUGGAAAGUGGGGUUUAUGUGACCUUGGCUUGGAUAUGGAACUAUCAAGACAUGAGCUCUGUGAAUUUUCUCUUCCAUUUCUCUUUUUUUUUUUUUUUCACUAAUUGUUUUGUGUAGUGAUGGUUUUUUGUCUUGCUUACUACUUGUUCAAUCUUUUAUUUUGGAAAAGCUUUUUAUAGGGGAAGAGUGGGGAAGGCAAAGCAUAUCAGGUGAUUUGCACGUGUGUAUUUGGCUCUUGGGGCUAGAUAAAUUAUUGUGAUUAAUUGCUUGCUUCAUGACUUAAUUAUCUGUUGAGUAUUGAAUGCACGCACAACCUCAAGCUAAUUUUUUAUGAAAAUAUUGUUAAAAAAAAUUAUUUAGUAACAAACGAAUGGAAAUCAAAUCUGCCACGUACUGUCUUAUUGCUUUCGUUAUGUUUUACGAAUAGUUUACAAUAUCCUAUAUAUGACAAGUUUAGAACCAGGUUUACUUACCAAACAAGAAUUGAAUUCACAAACCUGUAAAAGUUGACUUAUAUAAAUUUAAUAUUUUUGUGGUUGAAUUUUAGAUAUGUUUUAUCCCUACCAAUCGUCAUCAUUGUUUUUAAAAUUUAAUUACAUAUUGUCAGCAUGUGGAGAAAUUAAAAAAACUGCGAAAUUAUACUUAGCGUAGCUUAACACAUGACCAACAAAAAUAUUUUAGUUAUUAAAUAUAAAUGAAAAUGUCAAAUGUCACACCCCAACCAGAUAUGAUGAUAUGAUCUAACUUAACAAUGAGCACAAAAAUAUUAUAUGGUGAUGUAUAACAAGCUAAUCUUCAAGGUUUAGUCGAUUUUGCUUAUCUAAUUCUCUUGCAACACUAAAUUUUAAGGCAAAUACUUUUUAGUCACUAUAUCUUAGGUUAAGUACUUGUUUAAUCCUUAUAUUUUGAAAAAUACUUUAAGAUAUCCUUUUUGUUGAAUAUGUGAUUCUCAUACCCUUAUUUGUUUUCCUUUUCAUUUGCAAUAUAAUCCUUAAUACAAAUUUAAACAAUGUUUAAUAGUACAUUUACAAUAAUCUUGCUAAUAAUUACUUAAAAUACUAAAAAAAUUUACUUUUAUUUUUAUUUUACCUUUAGGGUUACUUUGUUAAUUAAUUAUUUUUAUAGAUAAAUUAAUUAAUAUUACCAAGAAUAUUGCUGCAAUGGUAUUAUUAUAAAAGUAAAGAAAAAUAAGAGUCUGAGUGUUAAAUAUUCAACAAUAGAAAUACUUUGAGACAUUUUUUAAAAUGAGACUGACCUAACACUUCGUUCAAAAUAUAAAGAUUAAAUAAACAUUUACCGUAAAUUUUAACCUUCCUCUAUAAUCAUAUCAGCUGUUUCUAUUGUCAAUCCUCUUAACUAAUUGGAAGGAAGACACUUGGGUUCCCAAAAACAUUAAUUUUUUUUUCGUUUAUUCUUUUCCAAAUAUAAUCAUUACAUCCUUGAUCUUAAAAUUGUGACAGAAAAAUAUAAUUUUAAUUUGUAUUCUCUUAUUAUCAUGACAUUACUUUCAAACUAAUUCUAUCAUGCACCGCUUGGAGGGAAAAAAAAAAAAAAAAAAACGUGUUUAGGAAAAUAAGUGACCAUGAAACGACCCACCCCGAACCUUCAAGACGAGUCUAUUUAAUCUCGCCGAAACGAGUUAAUAAUAAUUCUAAUAUCUAAGAGUUCUACCAAAAAUUCGGCAGAGUCUCCUAUAUAAUUAUGACAUCCCCAAACCUGCAAUUUAUACAAUUAACACUCCUAAAAAUGAUACAAUAUUCAAUCGAUCUCCACAACCAACUUCCUCAAUCAAAUAUUAGUAUCCUUCAAACAUAUAAUGCCAAGAAUACAAUAAUUUAUCCUUAAUCACAAAUAAGUAAUAAAUUAUAAAAUUCAAAAUGUCCCAACAAAAUAUAUGUGAUUCCUAACACCAUCAUGUGACCAUAAUAUUAAAUCUAACUAUCGUUGCUGGGUCGACUGAUGUACCUGCAAAUCUCGGGGGGGGGGGGGGAAUAUAAUAAAAAUAUAGUUAGUAUAAAACUCAGUGAGCUCAGUGAGUGGAUAAUAAUUUUUGGAAAAAAUAAAUUUACUUAAAAAUAAUUUAAUUCUUCUCUAAACAAUCUCAUCAAAAUAUCAUAAGACUUUAAAUAAACUUGUUUAAUUUAAAUCAUGCACUCGAAUAACAAUAUUACAUAAAUCUACAUAAAAUCAAUGAAAUCAUAAUACUUAUAAUAUCAAAUACUGAAUACUAAAAACUAUCACCAAACAAGUACCCAAUGGAAUAAUCUCAUCAUAUCCGGACCUCGACGGGCGGGCAAUUAGAGAACCAUUAUGCCCCGGAGCUACAACGGAUAGAUAGGGAAAUGCCAUAAUAUAUCUCAUCAUAUUUUUGCAUGCAUAAUCUGGUCCCAAAAGGACAAGACACCCAAGCACACGACCCAAAGCCUCUGUGUGUACGCAGACGGGCCCCAAAGGCCUAUAUCUCAUCUGUAUCAUCAUAUCUCAUCUGUAUCAUCAUAUUCCAACUCAUCAUAUCUCAUAUGUAUCAUCAUCUUCCAACGGUAUCAUAUUUAUCUUAAUAUCUGUAUCUCUAUAAUCACCAUAUUGCAUGCAUAUUUCCCCCCAAAAGGCAAAAGCGACCAAACACACGACCCAAAGCCUCUAUGUGUGUUUAGAUGGGCCCCAAAGGCCUCUCAUCUCAUAUCAUAUGUAUCACUGUAUCUGGAGGGAUGGGUACUGUCCAAUGAUUUUGUAAACAACCUUUUACACACAUGUACAUAAACAUAUAAUCACAUCUGAAUUCUCAUUUCGUUUUUAUUCAACAUAUCUCAAUUCCACUUAAUUCUCUUUAAAACUAUUAUCAUGAAUUUACUCAAAAGCGAUCAUAAAAUCAUUAAUCAAACUCAUUCUUAAUAAUAAUAAAUAUCAACACGCAGAUAAAAAUCAAUUUUCUAGAAAAUCAUUAAAUCAAAGUAUCAAAUACUUAUUAUGAAAAUAUGUUGUACUGUAAGGUAAAAUCAGAAUAUACUAUAAAAAUAGGUUUUGUAUAUUCCACUCAUAAUGACGAUGUCCAGACUCGGUAUCAACAAGGUCCACGGGUUGAUUCCCCGUAAAUUUGAAAUACAACUAGUUAUACAUAAUAAUUCUCAAAACAAAUAUCUAUCCACAAUAAACUAUUCCCACAGGCACAAAAUUACCAAAAUACCCCUACAUGCCAAAAUUACCAAAAUGCCCCCAGCAUCAUUAUUUUACCAAAUUAUCCUCAGAAUCAUCAAUUACCAAACUGUCCUCAAUUCAGAUCACAAAAAUAACCACAAUAUCAGAAAUUACGAAAUUACCCUCGGAGUGUAAAAUUACCAAAAUACCCUUAACAAUAUAAAUUACUGAAUUACCCCUGAAAUCUCAAAUUACCUCACUACCCUAAUCUAAAAUUACUAAAUUAUCCACCGAUUCCAGAAAUUACAAAUUCACCCCCCAAAGCCUUGUAAAAUUACUAAAUUGCCCCGACCGGUCAACAGUUACCGAACUUAGUCAAUGAUGACGGGAAGCUCAAGACUGAUAGUUCUGACCUCGGUGAGUCCAAUGGUGUUGGCAAUGACCUCCCACGCACAGCGAUUGCGGCAGAUCGUGCUCCCAAAGCCGUGAGCUUUUUGGCGGUCGUUCAUGGCCAAACCGAAGGUUUCAGGUGGCGAGGUUGGUCAAAAAAUGAUGAGGGUGAGCUGAGUAUCAAGAUUCAGGUGGUGGUGCGGCCUAACUCUUGUGGAAUCGAUGGUGACGAAAACGGGUGGAGCCGCGAUUCUUUGAAGCUAAAUCACCAGCGUUUUGGCUGUUUUCCGGCCACGAGGAUUGCAUGGAUACGUUUCCCAUCUCUCAAGCUUCAAAUUGGUACCUGGAUCGGUCGGAGUGGUGGCCGGAAUCAGUGAUUGGCGUCCGGUCAAGGUCGCGGGUUGGGUCAGGUCGGGUCACACGGGUCUCUCUCUUUAUAUUUUUGGAAACCAACUCCUCUCUCUUUCCAUUUAUAGAAAUGGUUCCCUCUUUCUUUCUUUUUUAAAGCUUAAUACAAAUUAAGCUAAUACUAGACCCCAGACCUGUUAUGAAAAUAAAAUCCGACUACAAGACCCUUUAUCGCGUUUGAUUUAUCUCGAUUUAUGUAGUAAUAAAAUUUAAAUUUAUUUAAAACAUGAUCCAUUUAUUAUGGAAUUUCCACCACUAUCAGCAAAUACCUCUGAUAUAAUUUAAGAACUCGACCCCAAUCUAUUAAUUCAUGAUAAGAAAUUGAGCCGCGUCAAGUUUGCCCGUAAUAAUUUGUAACCAAUCUGACGACUUUAAAAUUAAUACUGAAAUGAAAAACACAUAAUACACUUAAUUAGGAAAAAUUAAGGUGUAUAUGUUACAAGCCAGCUGCCCAUUGCAUCCAACAGAAGCUGCUUGCUUUAUCUCUUUGCUUGGCACGUGCAUGUUCCUCCCAUUUGCUUGAGGUGGUGAUUAUGUUUAUAUAAAGUAAGAGUUGUUUGCUUGCAUUUGGUGGCCCAGUUGGUGGCUAUAUAAAUGAAACAUUUUGAGAAUUGCUUCAUUUACUAAAUUUGAGAACUGAGAGCAAAAACAAAGCAAGACAGAGAGAAGAAAAUAAGAGAAACCGAGAGAAAAGAGAAGGAAAAGAAAAAGAAAAGAAGAAAAGAAAAGAAAAGAAAGGAGGAAAAGAAAGAAGCCGAGAGUGAGGAAGAAAGAAAUUGAAAAGAAAAGUUACAGAAAAUAGAAUUGGAUAAUUAGAAUUAUAUCCAUUGGAUCAGUGGGUAAUAGAUUUAUGGAAUUUGAGCAAUUAUGUUACAGUUUGCAUGAUACGUAUACGUUUUUAUAUUAGUUCUAAUAGUUAAUUUUCGAACCUUGUAUUUUAGGAGGAACUCAAGAAUCCAGAAACCUACAAGAGUCAACGAACCCCAGAGUGAAACAUGAUCUAUGAGUAGAUAAUAUUAUUACUAUUAUGUAUUCCGUGAAACAUUUAUGUUUGAUAUUAUAAUUUAAUAUCAUGUUAUGAUUACAUGUACGCAUAUUAUAUGUUUGAUUGAGUCAUGAAAUGUGAUUGCCAGUCACCAUAUAUGUACCCUUCCCCGUAGGCUCUGCGCAUGCGUAUUGAGAGUUAGGUUACUUUACCCCGUGCGAGAUAGUUUAAUUACGCCGGGUAUUGAGAGGUUUUUCCCCCGCUCUACUCAUGUGAAGAUGAUCCCCGCGAGUAUUGAGAGUUAUUUCCCCUGAGUACUAUUUGGUACAGUUUUGUGAUGUAUGUAUAUAUGAAUUCCAUGUUGCUGAUGUAUGAUAUUUAAUGUGGAGUUAUGUCACAUAAUUAUGCAUAAUCACUAGUACACUAUAUUAUUAUUAUUAUUAUAUUAUUAUUUUAAUAUAUAUAAUUACAUCCACUCACUGGGCCGCAAGCUCACUAUUUUCCUAUUUAUCCCUUUUCUCCCAGGAUUCCGCAGGAUUUCAUGCAGAUAAGUUCUAGUUAAUUGAGGUUGGGCCCUGAGACGCAUUGCUGCAUGUCUUGCAUUUUGAGCACGUUUAUAUUGCUUAUGUUUUAUUUGUAAAUAUACAUGUAAUGUCAGUAUGUACAAUGAGAUAUAAGGUAUGCAAGUUUUGAAUUCAUAUAUAAUUUCAAAAAAGGCACAAAGGUUGUUAUGCGUGUCUAAGAAAGGCCUAUUAUGUACAUAUUUUCAUGAAUUAAAUUUAUGCCACAAGUUUUAGUUAUUAGUCCGCACGAUUCGUCUCAAAUCCGACAUGGAGGUCGGGGCGGGUCGUGUCAAAUUCAGUGUGUUUGUCAAGAUUGAGUUUAUGAGUCACUAAGAUUGAGUAGCCAAAAUUCAGUUUAUGUAUCUAAUUUUUAAUUCCCCUCCCCCCUUUCAUUGCCUCUCUUUGCGUAAUGUAAGUGGCCAAUAUUAAGCUUUGUAUUUUAUAUUGACAACCAAGCAAAUUUUUUUCACUUUAUUUACAAUCUAUUGGAAAAUUACAACUUAAAUUAAACAGUAAAAUUUGAACAUUAAAAUUAUAGCAUCAAGAAUAGAAUAAAUGUUCUUUUAAUUAGUAUCUACAUUUUAAGUCAUUUAUUUAAUUAGUCCUUGUAUUUUUUAAAUUAUCCAAAACACCCUCCUAGCUAUUUUCGUGCCUGUCUAUCUCACUUUUUAAUUGUAAAAUAAUAUAACUUUAAACAAAUCUGACAUGCUACAAGUGCAAAGUAGAUAAUAAAUAAGUUUUAGUAGGAAUAGAGACAACAAGGCUCUUUUGACAAUCUUUUAUAAUAUAAAGACUAGUAGGAUAAUUGCCAAUGGGCUUAUGGCCCAUUGGCACACCCAUGAGUCCUAACAAUGCUAGUGUUGGGACUUGACUUCCCUGUAUAAUAAGAGUUUAUUUGUCUCUUCAUGACAUUGGGAUAAAAUCGAUUUCUUUCUAAUAUUAACAGUGAGGGUAGAUUUCUCUCCAAUUUUAAGUGAGGAUUAGCAUUCGGGCUGUACUAUAAUAGAAUUAUUUAGGAGAGUCCCGAUUGAUCUUUGAUUGUAAAUAGUAGAGCUUUGUUUGUAAUUUAUCGGUGUAUCAAAAAAAAAAAAAAACUAGUAGGAUAAUUGAUUUAGACUGUAGAGAUCAAAGGAACAAUUGGUUAGAAAUAUAUAAGUAAUUUAAAAACCAAGGAACCAAGUGAAAAAGAAAAUAAAAGGGGAACUCGCCUUAAAUUUUUAUUACUCAAAUUCAAGUGUACCAAUCACCCAACCAGGAACGUCAAGCAAAUUUGCCCAUGAUAAAUCUAUUCUUCAAUUAUUUUAUGCCUCUUCCUUUCAGGAUUUAUAUUUUGCAUGUAGGUGUACUUGGUGAUUGGGGAAACACCCCCUUUGAAAUCCUUGUAAAAUCCCUCAAUUACGUAUAACCCAUUAAGAUUACACGUACAGGUAACUCACACUUGAUUAAGAUGUUUCAGCAAUGGGUGCAACCGCUACCAUUUUGUGAUGUUUCAGUAAUGGCAUUAUUUGUCCAUUUCAUUUUAGACUUGGACCACAACCGUAUUGUGAUGUGAAUAAUUAUAGAGUGAUGAUACAACCACAAACUCUUGUAUAAACUUAUUUAUACAAACUAAUGUGGCAUUAAUUCAUUGGUUGAGUAAAAAUAUAAAAUAAUAGAAACAAAUCACGCGGGCCAAGAGAUAUUUAAUUCAACUAAUGAAUUAAUGCCACAUCAGUUUGUACAAAAUAAGUUUGUACAAAAAUUUGUGGAUAUAUCAUUACUCAUAAUUAUAUUAUAGGGAAUGAGAAAAUUAUUCUUGUGGUCAUGAAAGUACGAUUGAAUACAACCCAUCACCACAGACGACAAUCAUAGCAUACUAAAAUUUGAUGACAAGAAGUAAUUAUGUUGCGUAUAUUUAAAGGAUUAUGUUCCUUUUCUUGUUUUUUCCCCUCGUAAUCUCUCUUUGUUUUUCAAAUCUAUUUUUUAAAAAAUUAAUUUAAUUAUAAAUAAAGUUAAAAAAAAGAUAGCUUGAUUGUCAAUAUUAAAAUUUAAAAUUCAAUUUUAACCACUUCUUUAACAAAAAAAGACCAUUAGAGAGAGUUGAAAAAAAAAAAAAAACGCCUUGGCCGUACAGCAGAUCCACUCACUGAGCCGCAAGCUCACGGUGAUUAAUCUACCCCACACUUCCAAAAAAAUUAUAAAAAUUCACAUUACUUAAUUUUAAAAAUUCCAAAUAAAGAAGAAAUUAGGAUAAUUAGACAAAUAAAAUCCUCAUUAAUUUCUUUUUUUAAUACUCAAUUUGCAAGGUCUCAUGACCAUCUCUGACUGCUAAGGUGCUUUUAAUAUAUGUUUAAUUAAUUUGAUUACUUUAGUCUUAUCAUAAGGUAAAAAUGCUAAAAUACCCACAAAAUUAUUUUAACUUCAAUUAUUUUUAAUAAAAAAUCAAAAUUUAUGCUAUUUACACUAUUCAAGAUGGGUGUUACAUCGUGAAAAUAGGAAUUAAUUUGAGCCAAUAGUCAACAGCAACAUGCUUAUUGUUCAAAUAAAAUUGAAGAAAAUUAAGGAGAUAAGAGCCUUUAUAUUUUGCCUCUCACCUAGGCUACAUUCAAAUUUUCUAUUUUCUUAUUGCUAGCUAAUAAAAGAAAAUGUAGUGACAUGUGGUAGAAUCUAAAACUUUUGUCAGUCGGAAAAGAAGGAGACACGGAUUGCAUCUUAGGGUCCGUUUGGUGCAGUUGCGCCGCCACAGCGUAGCUGCUCCCCCUGCUUUAUUCCAGGGGAUAUUCUCCUAAAAUAAAGCAUGGGGAGCAGCUGCGCUGCCUGCCCCAAACGCUCUCUUAAUUUCUUUAUACUACCAAGUGUCUAACUCAGACUGGGGAAAAAAAUACGAAAUUGUCUAAUGCCUGGAAAAGAAUGAAUGCAUAAUUUGUGUGUGGAAGAAAAAAUUAAUUAAUAGGGCAAGUGAUACGGAAAUAGACAUAAACUCACAUUAAACAUAUAUACCAUGAGGGUCGCCUUGCAAAAAUAGAACUAGUUUUUUUCAAAUACACAUGUGUACUGGAUAAAUGCUUGUUUAGUACUUAUAUUUUAACUUAAAUAUUCAUUUAGUUUUUGUAUUGUAAAAAAUACCUUAAUAUACCCUUGUUAUUAAAUAUAUUAUAUUCUUACUCUUACUUUUUCUUUACUUUUAUAAUAAUAUCCUAACAACAAUAAUCUUCACAUUAAUGAAUUUAUCUGAAAAAAAAUAAAUAGCAAAUUAACAAAAAAUUAUCUAUUAGUAAAUUAACUAUUAUAUAUUAGUAUGAAAUAACUAGUAUUUUUUGUAUCUUUAAUUUGCAACAAUCUUGCUAAUAAAUGUUUAUAAAUUAAUUAAUAUUAGCCAACUUAAAAUAAUUUUUAAUAUCUUUUCAACAAUCUUACUAAUAAUCGUAUUUAAAAUUUUAAUUUACUAAACUAAUCCUAAAAGUAAAAUGACACAACUUAAAAGUAAUUUUUAACUCCCAAGUAUAAGAGUGUCUUGUUGUAUUAUAGCUCAGUGAGUCUGAGAUCGAUACAUAGAGAAAAGAUUUAAUUUGUUUAUUUUAUUUUAUCUAAAAAUUGAAAUUAAAACUUGAAUAUAAACAACUUAAUUUAAAUGAAACUAUGAAAUUGAAUUAGUUAGGGUUGUGAAUCCAUUCUUACUAGUAAAUAAAACUUAAUAAAUUCUUUUUGCCAUUUGUUUUAGAUUUAUUGACCAAAAGAUUAAUUAUAUAAAUUAUUAUUAUUUUCCCUUUAAUUUUAUGAUGGAUUAAGUAUUUAUUGUGCUAAAAUUUAAUUCGUCUACAAUAAGUCAAAAUACCAUUUUACCAUGCCUUGUAUUAAGAUAUUAAGAAUUUAUUGUGCCAAAAUCCCUUUGUUUGUCUACAAUAAAUCAAAAUUUCAAAAUAUAAAAAAUAUAUAUAAUUAAAUAGAACUGCUGUACGGCCAAGGCGGUUAUAAAAAUAAUUAUACAAAAUAUUAAAAACACACCUGAAAAUAAGAUUACAGGGAGAUGGAGAGAAUUUGAGAAGAAGAGAGAUGUAGAGAGAUGAUUAAAAACAUAAAAAUAAGACUCUAUUUAUAGAAAAAUAAAUUGAUAAUCUAGUGUUUUGCGGUCCAUCAUAAGCUUCAUGCAUGUGCUCCUCAAAACCUUUAGAUCAAGAUCCAACGGUUGGUCAAACAUCAAAGUCAACAUCACACGUGGCAUCGUUUGACUCGUCCGAUUUGGCCAAAGAACGGUUGUGAUUUGCCGGGUUAAUAGGUGGAUCGGGUCGACCAGAAUAUAAAGAUUCGGAUCGUACAACUUGCUUCAGCAACCAUUGCCACGUGGCAAAAUUAUAGCCAUUGAAUCAUGAACUGUUGAGAUUUAGUCAAAAUUGCUAGCUAUUCCAUGCACUCAAAUCUAUUAUAAGCUUAUUUCAUCAUCCAAUCAGUGAUCGGUCAACAAAAAAAGUCAACUCUUUUUACACAAGCCUAGUUUUAAGUCGAUCUUAACUGAUCUUAAAGUUUUCGGACCUCCGGAAUCCAAAUUUGACCUCUGUUUAUCUGUUUGGAUCCUCAAAUCACAUGAAAUUAAUAUUUUACCUAAUAAACACACAAAAAUACACAAAAUUAGAUAUAUUUAAUACAUCAUUAAUAAUUCCUAAUAUAUUGUAUAAACAAAAAUAUAAAUUAUAACAUAAGAACAAAAUAACAUUAUUACCGUUUGAUAAUUAGACAAUUUUUAACUUUAAUCACAAAACAAUAAUAUAAAAACAUAAAUUAAUUUUUAUUUAUUUUUAAGGCUAAUUUAAUGAAUUAACUUUUUUUCGUUAAUAUCCCCAAAAAUCUUAUUGUAAGUGUAUUACUGUAGAAAUAAAGAAAAAAAUAAGGUGAGAAAUGUAAUAUAUUUCAGAGUAGUGGUGUCUUGAGAUAUUUUUUGAAAAUAUAAUAACUAAAAGAAUUUUUAAAUUAAAAUAUAAAGAUUAAAUGAACAUUUACCAUGCAGCAAUACAAAGAAGCACACUUCCUAUUUGAACCAUGUCCUUUUUAUUUUCUCCAUUUACCUUUACCUUAAGUCCAUCCCACCCUAUGAAAAUGAAAGCUUCCUAGUGUGAGGGGAAUGGAUCCCAAAUACGCUAUUCUCGAAGGAAUAUAUUUAAUGUGAGCUUAAAUGGAUUACAAUUUUUGCCCUUCAACUGUGUGUUUUGUAAAUGAUUGAACAUCGAUCAAUGGUGAAAUCGGGUAUUACAAAUUUAUCGAAGACUAUAUUAAAGUGAUAAAAAUGAAUUCAAGGAGCGGUGUGUUUUCUGUAUCUGCUGUAGGAUCCUAACAGGUAAUUUGGGUGAAUUUUUUUUUUUAAUUUAAAAGAAAAGCCAUGUAUUAUAAUAAAUUAAAUUUACAAAAUUUUAGUAAAAUAAUAAUUUUAAAUAUUUUAAUAACUUAAAUUUGAGAAUAUUUUAACAAAUUUUCGCAGAUGCCCUGUUUUCUUGUAGUAAUAACAGUAUAACACAAUAAAAAGACCCACUUGUAUUCUAGUGAUUUCUCGAAUUUUCUUCGUUUCGCUUCUUUGUGUUUUCACUAAGCUUUACUUGACGCCUUGACUUGUUGACUUCUAAUCGAUAUCGAAUCCUGAAUCGCUUUAAUUCUCUCGCAUUGUUUCUAUAAAUUUAGCUCCCAGUGUGCAUGUUUCUGAGCCACUGUUCCAUUUCAAUACAAAUGGGGUCACCCACUCUUGAAUCUUGAUACAGUAGUUUCUUCACCUGUCUUCUUGAUCCUAUUUUUCCUUUAAAAUUUUUCACUUCCUGGUUCUUCUGAUUCGGUUGAAGAGGCUCAAGCUCUUCUAAAAUGGAAAGCCAGCCUUCAAAGUCGUAACUGAUCUCUUCUUCCGUCCGGGAUUAACGCCACCACAAAAUGUUCCAUCCAAUAAGUUAAGCCCGUGUGCUUGGUCCAGAAUCAGUUCCAAUGACGCUGGAAGAGUCACCAACAUCAGCCUCGCAAAUACAAGAUUAAAGGUACGUUUAGAGUGAGGUGCUGUAACUUUUAAGUUAAACUAUUGAGUAAAAGCCAUCAUUGUGGACUAAAAUUGAAAAAAAAUGCAUGUUGAACUGCCAAAACCUAGCUGCAAGGUGUUACCAAACACCUUGGGAGCUGGGCUUUGGGCAACCCAACUGCCACACCAUUCCCAAACGCACCCUAAGUGAUACGCUUCGUGAAUUCUCAUUCUCAUCGCUUCCUCAUCUUGCUUAUCUUGAUCUCAGCUUUAAUGAAUUAUUUGUUAUCAUCCCGCCUCAAAUCGGUAAUCUCUCCAAGCUCCAGUUCCUUUCGCUACACGCUAAUGAUUUUUCUGGAAUAAUACCUCCUGAGAUUUGCCUUCUAACUCGUUUGGAGGUUCUUUUCUUGCCCUCCAACUAUUUGAAUGACACAAUCCCUCCUUCUUUAUGUGAACUGAAAAAUUUGGUUCGGUUGUUUCUUAUUGAUAAUUGACUUUCUGGUUAUUUACCCCAACAACAUUUGUCGAGGUGGAGCACUAGAGUUUUUUGGUGUCAGUGAAAACCAUCUUCAUGGAACAAUUCCUAAAAGCUUGAGAAAUUGCACAAGCUUAGUCAGAGUACGCCUUGAUGGAGACAAUAUUAGUAGAAAUAUAUCAGAAGCUUUGGAUAUUUAUCCUAACCUGAAUUUCAUAGAUCUCAGCUGCAACAAUUUUUAUGGUGAAAUCUCAUAUAUUUAGAGGAAAUGCCCAAAAUUAGGUACUCUCAGUGUUUCGAUGAAUAACACUACUGGAGGUAUACCAUGUGAGAUUGGAAAAUCAUCUCACCUACAUGCAUUUGAUCUUUUGUUUAAUCAUUUAUUUGGGGAGAUUCCAAAUGAACUUGGAAAAUUAAAUUCUCUAAGCAAGCUCAUUCUGAAAUGGAAUCAAUUUACUGGACGUCUACCUCCAGAAAUCAGAUCAUUCAGUAAACUUGAGGACCUCGACUUGUCUAUAAAUAGAUUCAUCAGUUCAAUCCCAGAAUGUCUAGGCAAAUUGCUGAAAUUGCAUUACUUGGACUUGAGCAAGAACCAGUUUUUUCAAGAAUUGCCAAAGGAAUUGGAGAAGGUAGUUCAACUUUCAGACUAAGAUUUGAGUCAACUUUCUUAGAAGAGAAAUCCCGUAUCCGAUCUGCAAUGUGGAAAGCUUGGAAAGGUUGAACCUCUCCCACGGAAACCUCUCUGGUUCAUUCCAAAUUGCUUUGAAGGAAUGCAUGGCUUGUCAUUUAUUGACGUAUCAUACAAUUAAUUACAGGGCUCAAUUCCUAAUAGGAGCUCCAGUUGAAGUGUGAAAGGAUUGCAAGCAUGUAAAGCUCUAAGGUCAUAGAAACAAAGUUCUAGAGCCAAGUAAAUCAUAAUACUAUUCCCUCCUUUAGGAGUACUAUUUGUUUCAGUAGCACACGUUAGCAAUUUGCUUUGGUUUUUGAAAACGAAAGUCAGACUCAGAACGACAGAGCAGCCAAGUAGCCAACAGAACCCUCAGCGGUUGCUUUUGAUAUUAAAUUUCGAAGGGAAAAUCAUGUGCGAUGAAAUCAUUAAAGCAACAAAGGAUUUUGAUGCAGAGUCUUGCAUUAGAAAUGGUGGACAUGGAAAUGUUUAUAAAGAUGAGCUACCAUCUGUUGAAAAUUGAUUUAAAAAAAAAAAAGAGGAAAAAAGAAAGGUAGCUUCAAAUUUGGUGGCUUAACUACCAAAUUUGUUGAUCAAAUUUGAUGGCUAAGCCACCAAUUUUGAUCAAGAUUGGUGGGCUUGAUUUUAGGCAAAAUCUUGCCUAUAAAAGGAAGCUCUCAUUCGAGAGCUUGGUAUCCCAAAUCCCAGAGAAGGAAUCCAAGUUUUGGUGAGAAAUUAAGAGAGAGAAAUAUUUUUAAGCAUGUAGUUAUAUUGAAGGAGCAUUUGACUCCUCAAUAUGGGUAUUAUGAGUUUGUUUUGUUAAGGGAUAUUUCUCAGGAUUAUGUAUUUGGGGCUUGGAUGAGAGAAAAUUAUUUCUGAGAGUGGUUCUAAUAAUUUUCCACAUAAUGAAUAUUUUUCUCUGGUUGUCUCUCGACAACGGCUGUGAUUUUUCUCCGAAUUUAGAGUUUUCCACGUAAAUCUUGUGUUGUGUGAUUAGUGUAUUCUCCAUUUAAUUUUCUUAUUAAUUUGUUGCUUGAUAAAUUGCUUGGAUUGAUCUUGAGAGGAACCUCAAUUUCCUAACACCAUCUGGGGAAAUCAUUGCUGUCACGAUAUUCCACUCGCCACUUCCUAGGAAUCAAGUAGCAGAUCAUAAAGAAUUCUUGACUGAAGUUGAGGCAUUGAUUGAGAUGCGACAUCGAACAUUGUGAAGUUUUAUGGUUUUUGUUAAAAUGUUCGACACUCCUUUUUGGUUAAUUUAUAAAUUUCUUGAAAGUGUUAGCUUGGCCGCCAUCUUGAGCAAUGAUGAAGCCGCACAAGAACUGAGUUGGAGUCAGAGACUGAAUGUGCUUAAAGAAGCUGAUGGCCUAUCUUACUUGCACCAUGAUUGCUUUCCACAAAUUGUCCAUCGAGACAGAUCAAGCAAGAAUAUGUUGCUGGAUUUGGAAUAUGAAGCUCAUAUUUCUGAUUUUGGAAUUUCCAAGUUUCUCAAGCCAGCUCGUCCAAUUGCAGUGAAUUUCCAGGCACUUACGGAUACAUUGCACCAGGUAAGGAUUGGAUCACGCCGUGGUUUUUUGAUCAAUUUAUAAUUAGUUGCAUGGAGCACACAGGUUAUGUAUACAUUUAUCCUUCACUUUGCAGAGAUUACUUACACAAUGAAGAUUACAGAAAAAUGUGAUGUUUACAGCUUUAGAGUGUUAGCAUUGGAAGUGAUAAAGGGGAAGCAUCCAAGAGAUUUUGUUUCCUCAAUUUUGUGUUCAUCUUCGAUCAUCAACAUAACACUCGAUGAAAUUUGGAUCUCAUCUUCCUCCUCCAUCGCGGAUUGUUCAGGGCAAGUUGAUAUCAAUUAUGGAGGUUUCCUUUUCAUGUUUAGAUGCAAGUCCAGAAUCAUGACCAACAAUGCAGAUAAUUGCGCAAUAAAUUCGUAUUUAGCUUGGUUUAUUUUUCUCAUGCAAACUUGUAGUAGUUGCUCUUUUCUAUCUAUUUAAAUAUUGUUCUACUUCUGAACAGAUGAUGAGGCAUAAGGCCGUUAUGUGUCCUCUUAACCAGUUGCGUGCUGUACCGUUUCUUCUCUCAAUAAAAUAUUGCUCAUGCCGUCAAGGUUCAAUCAAAAAGGAAACAAUAAAGGACUAUUAGUCACUGUGUCAAGGACCUUUUGGCUCAUUAUGUUGUAUGCAACAAAAGACAGCCACUCAACCUCAAAUCCUCAAAGACGUAUUAGCUUCACUUUUGCAACAACUAAACGACAAGCCCACUUUACAUUAAUCCCCACGUCUAGCUCAGCUACCUAGUGCUGGCAAUAUGGGAUCAUUAGAGAUACUAAAGAUUUUCAGAAAGAAAUUAGGGCUAGUGAAGUAUCAGCAUAUGGGACCGACGUGAAAACAUUUGAGGAAUUGGAUUAGGCCUAUGUUAAAGAAUUUCGAAAAGUAAGGGGGGACUAAAUGUUUAUAGUGGCUUGAUUUACAAGACAUCAGUUCUCUAGUCAGUAUUGCCUAGGAAGCCUCGUUCACGUAGCACUAGCAGUGCCACAAUUAAUGGAACUUGGCCUAGCUUUUGAAGCAUCAAAAAGAACUUUUGUUUUGAUUAUAAAAAAAGCAGGAAACAACAAAAAAGAAGACUUUGUCUUUCAUGUUGGGUUUGAAUCUGUUAUUACAUACAAAUUAAAUACCCCAGGACCAAGAUGACACUCUCAAGAACUGAAGCAAGAGUAAUAAGAAUCAAAGAAACAGAUCAAAUAAAAAGACGAACACACAGAUUUUGAUAGUUCAGCCACCAAGUUGCUUAAUUCCAACCAAGAAAUAAGUCGAUUUCUUUGUUGUUAAAAAACUUACAGAGAACAAUUUACAAGAAGAAACCUCUUUCUAAUUCUCUCUCUAAAUUCACAAAUCUAUCCUUGAAUUAAUGCCAAAAACCACCCUUUAAUAGCUGGUGUUUUUAAGCCCACAAACUGAUACCAGAGCGUUCCCUCUUUUUCUAACAAACUUAACAAAAGUUUGACAUGGUCAGAGCAAGUGACUCACGUGUGUGUCACAUGCGAGAACCAAUCGGCGCCUGGACUUAAACGAUUAAAACGCAAAACUUCAAUAGGCAAAACACUGUCGUUUUGCGCCUGCAUUGUUGAUUUACCAUCAGCACUAGAGAAAUGGAUGUAAAGUUUUGAAAACAAAAUAAAAGUCUCUCUGUCUCAACCAUUUUAAUAUCUUAAUCAAAGGCCAUAUUUGUGAUGGAAAACUUAGGGGUAUUGAAAAGCCAAACCCAAACUAUAUAGACUUUAGAGACACUCAGACAGUGUGUGUUUGUUGAAGGGCAAUUAAUUAAUGGUCUACUUUCCGUUUCUUUCUCUGCAUAAUUUUUGGGGAGACAAAUGGCCAGUAAAAAAGUUUUUUUUUUCUCAUAGUUUGGAUCCAAAGAAGCAUUAUUUUGUCAAUUUGUCCAUUAAUCUUGAUCACGAAUGUUAAUUUGUUCUAUUUUCUGGGAUGACUCUUCAUGGAGAUUCAUUGUGGCUACAAGAAGAGACAAUCAGUACAAAGAUUGAUCUGACAGAACUGCAACAAAUGAGCAUUUUAUCUGGGUAAUCUUAAUAUCCUAGAUACUUUAAAGACUUUUGCCUUAGUAGCAAGGGAAAAUUCUUCCCUACGUUAAAGGUCUUGAUCAGGCAUUGACUCGUUCACCUCUCAACUAAUUGCUUUUGUAAGCUAUUUUGAGUACUCAAAAUCUGAGCAAUAAGGCCUUGAGCAAGGCAUAUGCUUUUUUGGCAUAUUUUAUUUGGCUCCCCUGUAUUAUGCUGUAUUUACAGCAUACCUGAUUUUUUAACUCUUUAUUUUCAAAAUUUAAAGAGAGCCGUUAGCCUCAAGACAAUCCGUUGACCUUUUUACUUUGGAUCGAUUCUGUUGAAACUAAACUAGAUUAAGCACUGAUUUAGAUUCCCCAAGAUCCACCUUUAUAAACUCAAGAUUCCAGAAUAUACUUAGCUUUAAUGGCUGAUGAAUUAAUUGUAACUCAAACAAGAAACUCAAAGAAAAACAGAGACAAGAUACACAAACACUUGACACCAAUGAUUUAUAGUGGUUCGGCCACAGAGUGAGCCUACAUCCACUGUGAAGGAGAAGAAGAAUUUCACUAUCUGAGCUUAUUGAAGACACAAGUUCUUGAGAAAGUGUUACAGAAUCACAUACACUCGAGAUCUCACUGCACCAGUCAGCUGCUAACGCCACCUGGGUUUGUUGUGAAGAAACCCAGUUUUUGCCUGCGUGAUAAUAGCCUUUAAUGGCCUUUUGAACCUCUGGUAGCCACGUGUUAUGCCUCCAUUAGUUCUUGAGCACAAAACGGCACAAGUCCCUGUCGUUUUGAAUGAGUAAUACCCGUGUUGCAUCACGUGUUACUUAUUUGUUUUACCGACAGAUCAAGAAUGUCAUCCAGCUCCCUGAACCUCUAUGACUGACAUGUCAUAUUCAAUCCAAAGAUUAAUGUGACAUGUCGUAUGUGUUAUAGAGUUUCAGAUUUGAGCUUCAUUUCUAACAGAUUCCUUACCUUCUACCAUUUUUACUGUAAGGCUCAUAUGAUCAGCUAGGAUAUCACCAAGGAGAUGUAGUUCAAAUGACUUAGAAACAUGAGAUUUUUGAUGAAAUUUUCCUAAGAGAAAAAUAUAAAGAUUAUUGUAAUUCACAACUGAUGAAACUUAUUAAAGAUUACAAGACCAUUUGAUUCCUUAAUUUUGGCAUAUUGAUUCAAGACUAUUUUUUUUAUCAAAGCUACUGGUAAGAGCUAGAUGAAUUAAGAAUAAAAGCUGGUUAGGACUAGGAUUCAAUGUUGAACUACUAUGCAUGACAACCAUUAAUUCAAGACUAUAAGGCUAUUAUGACUUGCAUAUAUGUGAAGAAUUAAUAUCAUUAUGCCAUAAGUACAUGUAAUAAAAAUCACGACUAUUAUAUACAUUUUAAAAUAAAAAGAAUCCAAAGGUAUUGUAUUUAAUCAUUUAAUUUUUUAAUUAUAUUUUUGUUCGCUUGCACAAAUACAUCUUUGGGCCACAUUGAAUAUAAGAGUGAAAGUUUAUUUUCUCCUUUAUUAUUACUAUUUUUUUAACGUAGAGAAAAUUUGUUGGUGCCCGACGAAUAUCAAAGAACUUCUAAAUUGAAACACGGGUGGAACACAACACUACCUUUUCACAUUACAUUAGUCAGACGAAAAAAAAUUAUUUAACUUGCGCAUGAUGAUGGAGGAGUUAGUAAAGAGAUUUCUCCAACAUCAUUUGGUAAUUGGCAUUGGCUUUAAGUAUCUAACUUUGAUUUUUUAGAAGGGAUAUUAUUAUUUUACUAAUAAAAUUAUUCUGACAUAUCAUAUUAGUAUUAUAGUUUGCCGAAAAGUGCAUUUUAUUACUAUCAAAUGUUUGCGUCAUUAUCAAUUCACUACCAUUUCGUUAAAAAUAUUAAAAAUUUGAUGAUGUCUUGCUGAUAUCAUAAGGGUAUCAAAGACAUUUUCAGCUGUAAAAGUAAAAUUAUUUGUUAAUUUGAUAAAUAAAUUAUCAUUUUACUACCAAUGUUUUAGGAGAAUUAUUAUUUUACUACCAAACUAUUGGGGGUAAAAUCGACUUUUAACUCAAUUUCCAUUAAAUAUUAACAUUUUCUUAACGGAAUACUAGUGAAUUGAUAACGGCGCAAAUGUUUAAUACUAAAAUGCACUUUUCGGUAAAUUAUAAUACUGACAUGAUAUAUCAUAAUAACUUUGGUAGUAAAAUGAUAAUUUUUCUUUUUAAAAAAAAAUUAUUAUUGUCGUCAUUGCUUAUGUGAAGAAGAAGAAAAAGCAAAGAACACCCCAGCAAUAUCCUUGGUCCCAUGACCUAUUGUUUUCUUUGUUUCGGAGUAUUUGUAAUUUUGUCAAUUGUUAUUAAUGCCGGACAAAGACAUUUAUGAGCGCUUAAUUUUGGGUAUUUUUCAAUUACUUUUUAACAACUAUAAAAUAUAGCAAAGAGAAAAAUACUUACCAAUUUUUAAGGUUUUCAUAUUAGCAACACUUAUUAAAAAAUCGUUAAUUAACCAAACGCAGAAAAUUUCUUAAUGAAAGAAAAUUGAGUAACACGUUUUCAAGAGAACAAUUUAUAGGAUUAGUAUUGUCACAAGAUAUGAACAUUUUUUAGCAAAGUUUAUUUUGAUCAUCGAUGGAAUUGGAUAAAUAAAAAAUAAAAAAUUGAUUUAAUUCUAACCAUAAAAUAUUAAUUAUAAACACGUGACAUAAGAGCUUUAAAAGUUUAAGUGAGCAUAAAUAAUUUUAAUUCCAAUUUGUAACUCUCAAAAUAAGCAUGAAAUUUGUACAAACAAAGAGCUAAACAUAAUUAACAUGAAUAAUACAUUUUACAAUUCAAAAUAAGGGCCUGAUUGGAAUUGCAUUUGAUAGUAUCAAAAGUGAAUUUAAAAAGUUAAAAGUUAAUUUUGUUGUUAAUUAAUUUUUUUAAAAAUCACUCUAGUAAAAUCAUCUCAUCCGACAAUAGAUUUUAAAAGACAGGAAAUGAGUAGCUUUUUAAAAUCAGAUUUUGAGAAUCACUUAUAAACUUAAUACAAUUCUAUAUAUAUCCUUAUAUACCUUAAUAAAAAUCCAGAUUUAUUCUUAUUAAUUAGGAAAUAAAACCAUUAACUAUGAAGACAUUAUUAUUAUUACUAAUUAUAUUGAGAUAACAAAAUAAAAAAUAAUAUUAAUAAUAUAAAUAUAUUAUUUUAGUUAUUAAUUAUUAUAUGUACAUAAUAAAAAAUAUUUAUACACAUAUUUAUAAAUAUUUAAAUAAAUUUUAUUCAAUAUUAUGUUUAGUUCAUUUGUUUACAUUCUUACAGUAGUUUAACGGUAAGAUUUACUAAACAAAUAUGACUGUUUUUAAAACUCACAAUACUUUAAAAAAUAAAAUUUAUCAAACAUUUAACUAAUUCUCUUCACAGCUGAUUAUUUUUACAGCAUAGUUAAGAACAAUUAUUCAUUCUCAUUUCUCUCCCACUUUAACCCUCCAUCACUUCUCUUAUGCACCUCUCAAUUUCAUCUCUUCCCACAAUCCCCUCUUCAUCAACCCUAACCCUAACUCCAACCUUCCAAACAUCUUCAACAAACUUUGCAUCCAUUGGCUGAUCUGUCCACUGUGGCACCGCUAAGCUUAAAGCUUCAAUAGUCGAAUUCCAACCAGCGUGCAUGAAAAAGCAACCUAUUGUUUUAUUUGAAAGCACUUCUAGCUAAGGGCUCCAAUUCACAAUCAAGCCCUUAUCUCCAAUCUUAUCAACAAACCUUUUGGGAGCUUGUUUGUUUCAUCAAAAUCUCUUAUUACCCACAAGAAAUAAAAACAACUUUUUUUCAAGCCCCACACAAGUUCUUCCACUUGUUUAUUGCCUAAACAAGUGAUAGAGCGGGCGUAGCGGAAGCGGAAUUGAUAUGGUAGGAAACACUUAAUAUCAUUCUAGUACUAGACAAAGCCAACGUAAUUAGGUUACACUCUAAUUGAAAUGUAAUUGGAUUUUAUUCUAAUCCAAAUGACUCAAUGAGAUUUUUAAUAACGCUUAAAAUAAGAUUAGAUGACGCUCUAAUUCAAACGACUCUAUAAGAUAAAUUUUGAUAGAUAAUCCAAGAGGAAAUUAUAAAAGAGGGGUUUUAUUAAAUAAUUGAAUCUGAAGUUAUGAAUACAAUAACAAGACCUUUAUAUUAAUAAUAGAAUAAACCUACUUCCCUAAGUUAACGUAAAAAGGAAAACUAAAUCACAAUUAUAAUAGAAAUAGAAGACUAAGACACAUACCAUAAUUGACUUUAAUUGAAAUAGAAAGUCAUAAAAAAAAUUCUAGAAUCUUAAAUUAACGUCCUACAUCAUUCUCCCCCUCCUAAAAGAAACUUAUCCUUGAGUUUGAAUAUAUUUAGGAGGGUGAAACUUGUAGUGUAAGACCAAGUCAUCUUGUAAUUCGAACUUAUUGUCUUUCUCAUCAAUCUUUCUCAAAACCAUACUUCACCAAUUUCCUUAGCUUAUACAUUCUUAAAAGUGAUGAAGACUUUCAAGAACGAACAACGGUCAAAUAACUUUUGCCUUUCCCUAAUCGUCGCUCAAUUCGCUUUCCAAUGAACUUUACCUUUUCAAUUAAAUCUCUUUCAAACACAACUUUUUUAUCUUUAAUGUGAAGAGAUAAAACCAUUUUGAUCAAUUCAUCUUCUUUAAUUCGAUUUUACUGCACAACCUUGACCAUAUUAUUAGGCUCAAUGCUCAAGUCAAAAUGAGGUUAUUCAUCUUUCUUAAAAAAUUUAGAUAGAUCAAUAACCUCAUCAUCUUUUACAUUUGUCUUGUCCUCUAAUGAAACAUCGUGCACAUUCGCACACAAAUUGUCAAAUUGAAACUUUAAGUCAAUAAUGAAUUGUACCUUUUCUUCUGCAACAUUUGGCACAUCUUCAACAUAUGGAGAGGCACAAACUUCUUUUAUCUAUAUGUCUUUCACUUUAAGCUACUGGCUUGUGAUAGGACUAAGGAUUUCAAAUUGGUAUCGAGGAUAAGGUUGUCGUAAUUGCUUCAAUGUUUGGCUUAUUUCCUUUCUGAUUUGUGAUACAAUUUGCGAUUCAAUUUGCAUCAAUAAAAGAAUUACAUGUUGCAAGGUGUAUAUAGUGUAUGUAGGUAUCUUGUCUUUAAUAUAUAAACUGAGCCCUUUUACAGAUCUUGUAACUGUAUCCUCUUCCAAUUCAUAAUAAUAUUUGCAUCUAUAAAAUUAUUCAAAUUCAGAAGCAUAAUUAGAAAUUGAUUUUAUACCUUGUCAUACCAAACAAUAAUCAAGAGGAAUGAAUCUUGAUCUUAACAUUUAUUUCAUAUGAGUCCAUGAAGUAAUUUUGAAAAAGACCUUUGAAAAGUAAUCUAUGCCUUUGCACUUUGGUCCACCAUUCUAAAGCACUACCUGUUAAUAGAAAAUUGACUCCAAAGUGUACUCAAUCAUACCUCAGCAAUCUAAUCAUAAAUUCCUAAUCAACCUUAUCCAACCAUGAAGGAAAAUAUUUAGGACUACAAUUUUCAUUAAGCUUCCAAAGCAUGAUGCCCUUUGAAUAUUUCAAUUACAAAUAUAAAAUUGAUGAAAAAAAUGUAAAUAAGACUAAACUUUUAGGUUUAGUGUGGUCGAUUGCUGGUGGCCAUGAUUGGGUCCAAAGAGAUUGGCCAGAUUCGUGGCGUUUUGGCUAGAAAAUUGACUUGAAGUAGCGGUGGCUUGUGGUGAUUUGGUUGUGAUUUUUGGCAGUUUAUGGCUGUGUUUGGUGACAGAGAUGGUCGAUGGAGGCUGAGGAUUCUUGUAGUGGUAGUGGUUGACGAUAAGAGUGGCUAGCAGCAGCUGGUGGAGUGCUCACGAGUUUGGGUUGUUUGCGUGGUGGUUGCGCGAUGGUUGUGCGGCUAUUCAAGGACUAUGGACGGUUGGGUCUUAGUCAACAACUGACCAUGAUUCCAAUGAUGAGUUGAAUGACAGUGGCGGUGGGCAGAGAUGGUGGUGGUAAUAGGUGGAAGCUCAAGAAUUUGGUGUUUUGCAGCAGCUCUGGUGGUGGUUAAAGACAACGGGUGGUAGGGCUUUGGUUAGUGGAGGUUAGCGAGUUUAGCGAUGGUGUUGGUUGGCUGAAUAGCGAUGGCGGUUGGCAGUAGGUGGUGGCAACAAUGGUGGUGGUUGUGGCGGCUAAGGUUUAAAAAUUUUGUGAUUUUUUAUUUUUUUUGUUUUUGGAAUGAAUGGUGAUGGAUGAUUUAGGUGAUUUGUGGUGGACAUAUAUGAUGGCCAAGAAAGCUGUGCAACUGGAACAGAUCGCUUUGAUACUAACUGAUGAAGUGUUACUAGAUCUCGUUCUAAUUCAAACGACUCAAUGAGAUUUUUAAUAACGCUUAAAACGAGAUUAGAUGAUGCUCUAAUCUAACCAAUUCUACAAGAGAGAUUUUGAUAGAUAAUUUAGAGAGAAUUAUAAAAGAGGGGUUUUGUUAAAUAAUUGAAGUUAUAAAAAAUAAUAACAAAACCUUUCUAUUUAUAACAAAGUAAACAUACUUCCCUAAGUUAACUUAAAAGGAGAAAUUAAAUCACAAUUAUAAUAUAAAUAGAAGAUCAAGACACAUACCAUAAUUGACUUUAAUUAAAAUAGAAAGACCUAAAAACUAAAAUUUUUGGAGUUUUAAAUUGACAUCCUGCAUCUUUAUUUGAAAGCACUUCUAGCUAAGGGCUCCAAUUCACAAUCAAGCCCUUAUCUCCAAUCUCAUCAACAAAACCUUUUGGGAGCUUAUUUGUUUCCUUAUAAUCUCUUAUUAUCCACAAUAAAUAAAAAGAACUUUUCUUCAAGUCCCACACAAGUUCUUUCACUUGUUUAUUGCCUAAACAAGCCAUGCUUAUGAAAGGUACAUAAAUGACAGAUCUUUUAGGCUUUUGGUUGAGCCAAUUGAUGCUGAUGGAUUUGUCUAAUGUAAAGUGAUUGAGAUCAUAAUCAUUGUCGUUUAUGAUUUUGUUGUCUAGGUAGAAAGAUGGAAGCGUUGGACCAAUUGUGAGCAUUGGACAGAAGUGCAUUGAAUUCAAAACUUAUCCACUUGAUACGGCGGUGUCUUGAGUAAGUGUUCUCACUUACUUGUCACGGGAUGGCAUGUGACAUUUUGAGCUUGAACAAAUGAUGCUGGCUUCAGUCGCCUUUGGCAAGUUUUAAGUGACUCACAUGGCCAGACAUGUGAACUGAGAAUCAAAUCAGUUAAAAGCUGCUACACACGUGUUACAAUCUGGUGCAAUCUGGGUUUUCUUAUCAGCUACAUAAAAGGCUGAUUGUUGAAGCAGAUUGGCAAUUGAUUUC
Molecule: long non-coding RNA, 41984 nt
Filed under: Citrus sinensis (sweet orange)
Lineage: Eukaryota; Viridiplantae; Streptophyta; Magnoliopsida; Sapindales; Rutaceae
Description: long non-coding RNA (CSIN_LNC002220)
Source: RNAcentral